Molecule: unclassified non-coding RNA, 371 nt
Filed under: uncultured Tolypocladium
Lineage: Eukaryota; Fungi; Ascomycota; Sordariomycetes; Hypocreales; Clavicipitaceae
Description: sequence contains ITS2
Rfam family: 5.8S ribosomal RNA (bases 1-154)
Source: RNAcentral
AACUUUCGGCAAUGGAUCUCUUGGCUCUGGCAUCGAUGAAGAACGCAGCGAAAUGCGAUAAGUAAUGUGCAUUGCAGAAUUCAGUGAAUCAUCGAAUCUUUGAACGCACAUUGCGCCCGCCAGUAUUCUGGCGGGCAUGCCUGUUCGAGCGUCAUUUCAACCCUCAAGCCCCAGCCGGCUUGGUGUUGGGGACCGGCCCCGGCCGCCCCCCAAAUGCAGUGGCGACCUCGCCGCAGCCUCCCCUGCGUAGUAGCACAACCUCGCACCGGAGCGCGGAGACGGUCACGCCGUAAAACGCCCAACUUCUCAGAGUUGACCUCGGAUCAGGUAGGAAUACCCGCUGAACUUAAGCAUAUCAAUAAGCGGAGGCU